CACUGAUCGUAGCGACCAAAAUAGUGGUGGAGCCUGGAUUUUCACUAAGGGGGUUCAGCAAACUCGUCGAAGGGUUCAAUAAAAGGGUUCAACAUCGAUCUACCAAAAAUAAAUAAAAAAUACUUUUAACCUUAAAUAAAUGGUAUAAUUUCCAUCGAAGAGGGUUCAGAUGGUCCAAUAGCAUGAAUGGAAGAAAUCUCGUCAAAUACAUGAAAUGUUCGAUCUCUCAAAGAGAAUGAUCUAUCUCCUCAGUUGAAAUGCCCUUUGUUUUCUUUGAUCCAUAAAUUUGAACUGAAGACGCAAAUCUCUUUGUAAUUUGUCACCUCUUAGUCAUUUGUACGUCUAAAAGAUGAAUAGAUCAUGCUAUAACUACAUCUAAUCAACUUAGUACUAAUACGCACCAGCAGGUUGAAUAAAUAUUAACCAAGUUGCUACAGAAAUAAAUGAACACUUGCAUUAAAGGGCUGUGAUUGAAGUAUUACAACUUUUGUUAUACUGUAUAUUUAGCAUCGAGUUGCCUUCUUAUAUACUUUGUAAUAAAUAAGAGAAAGUAUGGAUCAAUAUAUAGGAUAACCUUUUCUUUUCAAACAAUGUACAACUUUCUGCAAUGUAAGUUACAUCAACUGACAAAUGACAUAUACCCCAUGCCAGAGGAAAGAAUUACACCAUACAAUUAUGAAAAAGACAGAAUAAAGAAUCUUAUGAUUAAACUUGACCACAAUUUUCAGCACUUAAUGCUGCUAAAUAUUUUGGAAAGUGAGAAUCUAAAGCUAGAUGUUACACUGCUACAUCAACUAAUUUAAAGCUAGAUGUUAACACUGUUACAUCAACCAACUUCCUAACAAUAUUUGUAACUAACUUCCGGAACACUGAUCGUCUUAAACUAAGUUUACUGGAUAAAUUUGAACUUGUCAGGAUAUUUCAUUUAGACACUCGGGCUGAGUCCUGUGUCAACUGAACACCUUAAAUCUCAAUAAAGUGUUAACACUUAUCGAUUCAAAUUUUGAAGAAAAAAAUAUGUGUUUGCAUUCGUAUAUUAUUAAAUAGUUAUGUUAAUCACAUAAAAUAUGUCAUCUCCUUUAGUUAUGCACAUCAUUCUCAAGUGGAAAAUGUCUCGGAUUUUACAACUUAUUGAGGCAAAUGUGUGUAGUUAAAGGUAAUGACCUAUUUUAUGUGUUUAAAUAAACGAGAGAAAAGGCUCAAAUAUGUCAUUGAACAAUUAGAAAUGGUUCAUUUAUGUCAUUCAUUAAAAGUUUGGCUCGCUUGCUGUUACAAAACAAGUUCAACUAUGCCAUUAUUUUUUAACAGUGGUUUUGUAAAACCACCUUUGCCAUGUGGCCUCUUAUUAGAUAUCCACGUCAUAAAAUUAGACCCACUAAAAAUAUUACUCAUUUAAAAUAAGACCCAUUUUAAAUAACAUUACCAUAUUUCAUUUUAUCAGCACCCGAAUGAUCAGAUUCAUUAACCAAAAAAUUGUAAAAAAAAAAAAAAAAAAAAAACUAAUCUAUAAAAGACAAAGGAAACAUGAAGAAGGGUGCUAAUUAUACGGAGGACAGCUGAAAAAUAAGAGAUCAAAGGGUUUAAUUUGCUUUCCAGCAACUCAAUGGUGAGUAAUUAGUUCCACCAUAAUACACCAUAAAACAACUAAUUCAUCAAUGAUAAUCAACAAUAUGCAAAACAGUCACAAUACUUGCAGUUUUCAAUUUCAUCGAAAUCACAUAACCACCACCCCCCUCCCAGAAUAUUUGCGUUUUUUUAUAAACAAUUUACGUUGGAUUUUCAAAUUUAAAAAAAAAAAAAAAAAAUUGAUUAUUGGAUCUGAUUUGAUAUAGGGCAGAAUAAAAUGAAAUAUGGUUAUGUUAUUUAGGAGUCUUAUUUUGAAUGAGUAACAUUUUUAGUGGGUCUUAUUUGGUGACGUGGACCUCUAACAAGAGGCCACAUGACAAAGGUGGUUUUACAUAACCACUGUUAAAAAAUAAUGGCAUAAGUGAGAUUGUUUUGUAAUGGCAAUGGCAUAAACGAGCCAAACUUUUAACGGAUGACAUAAAUAAGCCUUUUCUAAUAAUUCAAUGACAUAUUUGAAUCUUUUUUCCAAUAAACAAUGAGAACAUGCACACAUAAAAAAAUCCAAAACUUAAACCAAAGUGUGUCUAAUGGCACACUAUCUUGGAAGUUGACGUGUUCAAUUGAGACAAGACUUUAUUCGAGUGUCUAAAUAAAAUAUCUUCACAAAUUUGAGGAGUUGGUAAUGUAUUAAGAAAAGAAUUACUACCUUAUUAUGAUACACAAUAUUGAGAGGUAACUAGUACUAUAUGGUAUAUUUCAAGAUGAACAAGCUUGUUGUUGCAAAAUGUACUUUUAUUUAUUAUUACUCCCUCCCGUUGUUUCAAAAUAAUUGUCAUGUAUGCUUCGAGUCAAUUUAAUUAAUUUUUAAAGUUAAAUUAGGAUAAAUUAAUUUAAUAUUUUAAAAUUUAAAGUUAAAUAUUCAAAUAUUAUUAUACAAAGUAUUAUACGUUAUAACUUUUUUUUUAUAUUGAUCAAUACGAUGAAUUAAUAUAUGAUUAAAGAUCAAAAUUUAUAUUAUUUGACCCUCAAAAAGAAAAUCAUAACAAGUAAAAAGGAAUGUAGGAAUUAGAUUACAAACUGCCUUUACUUUCAACACAAUUUUUUGAAGGGUUGACAAAGACCAAGACUUGGAAGGGUGUUUUUUUUUAUUUCGAGCAGUUUUCAAAAGGUAUUUUAUGUUAGUAUUAAAAUCUGAUUAAAUUUAAAUUUGUGCAUUGCAUUUCAUGUUUGGGCGAAGUGUAAAAAUAUCCGAUUUUGGAUCAUCGUUUAAUUUGAGUUCACUUUGUGAUUUUUUUAUUUUUUUUAUAAGUUUACAGCGUUAGAAAAAAUCAAACGUACACGACUGAUAUUGAAAAUUCGUGUCUGUUGUACGUAUAAAAGUUGUUGUAGAUCUCAGUCUUGUGUAGUUGAAUCUAUUUUGUCAAUUUUCUUUUUAUACUUCAAAUUUCACAAUUCUACACUAAAUUUAUUCCAAACAAAUUUAAUUUUAAAAUGUAAACUCCAUAUAUCACAAAAACAAACUUCAAUAAUCAGUAUGUGACUAGUUUGAGUAAAAAAGAUUGGAUAUGCAAAUAGAAAGUCUUCACCUCAAAGAAAUUUAGUUCACAAACAAAAAUAUUUUUUAGAAAUAAUUUACCCAAUUAAUAAAUUCUACCCCAAAUUCAUGAUUUUCUCAUUACUUUCCCCUAUUUGUCCCUACCAACUAGUCAAAAGAAAAGGAAAAUAUUGGUACAAAGUCAACAUAAGAAUAUCCUUGUCUGAAAAUUCUACUACUCCCUCCAUUUUUAUUUCUUUUUUCAUAAUUUUUAUUUCAUUUUUCUACUAACGUGAUUCUAAAAUUACAAAUAAUAAUUCUAAUUUUCUACUAACACUUAAGUAUGUUUAUGUAUUUGAAUUUAAAAUUACAACAUUCAACAGCGUUCUUCAUCUCUUUUAUUCAUUUCUAUAUAUAUAUAUAUAUGUAUUAUACAAAAAAUAUGUCUAUUGUUAAUUAUUCAGUUUAGAAAAUCAAGAAAUAAUUUAACACAAUUUUUUUAUCUAUUUCAAUAUGACUUACAAUAAAUAGAGGUAAUUUUGUACUCUUUUAAGUUGAACAAGUAAAAAUGCAUCGGGAAUACUAUUUAAAAUUUUGUGUUAAUAAAUAAAUGGGUGAUUUUAUUAUAUAUAUCACAGUUUGAAUAUAAUAAAUUUUUUAUUUUAAAAAAUGUAAUGAGUGAUGUAUCGUAUUUAAUAUUAAAAAUAAAAUAACAAAAUAAAUAAAUAAAGAUAGACUGGAGAAAUAAAUCAAAUAAAUAUUUUUAGAAAUGAUAAAUUAAAAUAAAUAUUUUUAGAAUGAUUAUUUUCCAAUUUAUCGUCUUUUGUUUUUUUUUUGUUCAUGUUUUUCAGCUGUUACUACAAGCCGUCGGUGCUCUGCAUCUUUCUCCUCCAUUUUUUUUAGCACAACAAACAUCACAUUUUUCCUUUGACAUUCCCCUUUUCCAUCACUUUUCUUGAUUUGAGUUUCAAGAUUUAACCCCCAAAAUCUCAUAUUUUGUUCUCAAACUCUUUUUUUUUCUUUUUAAUAAUCGUGGUAUUUGGGUCAGUUUUUUUUUUGGUUCCUUGACUAAAUUCAAGAAAAACACCCCUUUUGCUUUCACAUUGCCUUUUUCAUCACUUUUCUUGAUUUGGGGUUUCUCAAAUCUCAAGUUUUGUUCUCAAUUUCCUUUUUGUCUGGAUCAGCUUUUUUUCUUUUCUUUUGAUAAUUGUGGUGUCGAGGACAGCUUUUCGUGCACGUGGACUAAAUUCAUGGGAUACGUGUCACCUUCCAUGAGCAACAACAGAUAGAUUUUUGUUCUCAAUUUUCAAGAUUCAGAAUUGGGUAAUUGUCUAGAAAAAAACAAGCAGAAAAGAGAGAGGGAGAGAGAUGUAUGCUGUAAAGGAAACAGUUUCUGAGAAACUUUCUCGUUUAUUUUCAGCUUCACCUUCUAAAUCUGUUGAUCAACAACCUCAGGUUUGCCCUUUUUCUAUGUUGGAAUUUCAGCUUGUUGAAUCUUUUGUAUGUUUUGGUUGUUGGGUUAUGAGUAUUUUUUGUCUUUGAUUUGAUUUGUAUGUAAAGCUUAAGGUUUUUUUGUUGACCAAUGUAUAUAUGUAAUUUCAAUUAUUUUUGUUGGCAAUGUUUAUUUUUGGGCUGGUUAGUUUGUGCAUGAUGUUUAAGGAAUUGAGUAGCUAAAAAUAGGACAAAAAAAAAAACUUUAUAUGAUGUUUAUGGAAUUUAUACAUGAGCAUGAAAUUGGUAGAGUUACGUGUACUAGUACCUGUUGGUGGUGGGAAGUGGCCCGUGGAAUUAGUCGAUGUGCGCGCACAAGCUGGCCGGAUAGCACAGUUAUUUUUAAAAAAAAAAAAGAGAGAGAAGAAUGAUAUUCCUUCUGUUUCAAUUUGUUUGUCUGAUUUUGACUUGACACGGAGUUUAAAAGAGUAAAAGAAUUCUUUUGAAUCUCAUAGCCUUAAACUAAAGAUAUGUAAAAUGUACCAAAACAAGCUUUAAUCUUGUGGUCUUAAACAUGUCACUUGAAAGAUUGAAAUUAAGAGUUGCCAAAAAAGGAAAGAGACAUUCUUUUUGAAACGGAUAAAAAAGGGAAGUAAAACAAACGAAUUGAAACAGAAG
RNAcentral lists this long non-coding RNA (5209 nucleotides) under Capsicum annuum. Its description in RNAcentral is "long non-coding RNA (CANN_LNC005658)". The record is from RNAcentral. Lineage: Eukaryota; Viridiplantae; Streptophyta; Magnoliopsida; Solanales; Solanaceae.